CUCUGCAGCUGGGGACAGCGUUGGGGGCCCGCUUGAAUCAGACACAGUUGGUGGAGGGAGGAAUAUCAGGAAUACACCCUUCCACCACAUUUGUGUCUCCCUGGGAGGGCUUUGUAGAAAGAAUCUAAACAUUCUUUCGCCUUCCUGUCUUCGGACUGGACUGCACGAAUGGCAUGCUGAAGCUAUAUCCAAGAGAAAAAGAAGAGCUGAGACGUGUAUCCAUAGCACCUUCGUGCGUUUUCAUCUUGCUGAGUUUUCUCCUCUUCCCCUGCUACUUCCAGCACAUCUUGAUGUGGAAUCUCUGGCCCUUCACAUGAUUCCCCAGGGCAUUAAUCCAUUCAGCCCCUUCUGGGUCGUGCGUGAUAAAUCACAAUUUUCAACCUCAAGCCGUCCUAAAUCUUGCUUGUGCUCCAUUAAUGAAAUCAUCUCUUUUAUCUCAUCACUGCAGGUAAAAACAAUUUUCCAUAUGUUAUACCCUCUUAUCACGACUUCUAAAAUGCCGCCAUGGUUACAUACUGUCUGCUUUACAUUGGGAAAGCAGAAUGUCAGUGUACUAGAAAACAAUUCUAAAAAUCUGUAGCACUAUUCAUCAACCAGUCUCAGCUGCUAACUGAAUGAAUAAUUCCAUGAUUAAGAGCCGGG
Molecule: long non-coding RNA, 642 nt
Filed under: Sus scrofa (pig)
Lineage: Eukaryota; Metazoa; Chordata; Mammalia; Artiodactyla; Suidae
Description: lncRNA (ENSSSCG00030069208.1)
Source: RNAcentral